This 253-nucleotide ribosomal RNA is filed under the name uncultured bacterium. Its description in RNAcentral is "partial 16S ribosomal RNA". It matches the Rfam family "Bacterial small subunit ribosomal RNA", at positions 524 to 776 of the family's 1533-position model. The record is from RNAcentral.
UACGAAGGGGGCUAGCGUUGUUCGGAAUUACUGGGCGUAAAGCGCACGUAGGCGGAUCGAUCAGUCAGGGGUGAAAUCCCAGAGCUCAACUCUGGAACUGCCUUUGAUACUGAGGAUCUUGAGUAUGGGAGAGGUGAGUGGAACUGCGAGUGUAGAGGUGAAAUUCGUAGAUAUUCGCAAGAACACCAGUGGCGAAGGCGGCUCACUGGCCCAUUACUGACGCUGAGGCACGAAAGCGUGGGGAGCAAACAGG